This 67-nucleotide microRNA precursor is filed under the name Bombyx mori (domestic silkworm). RNAcentral's name for it is "mir-2774 microRNA precursor family". It matches the Rfam family "mir-2774 microRNA precursor family". The record is from Rfam by way of RNAcentral. Lineage: Eukaryota; Metazoa; Arthropoda; Insecta; Lepidoptera; Bombycidae.
AUAACAUUCGGACCGUCGGUAUACCGAGCAAUUUGACCCGCUCAUUAGAAGAUCUUCCUUUUGACCG